UACGUAGGGUGCAAGCAUUAUCCGGAGUGACUGGGCGUAAAGAGUUGCGUAGGUGGUUUGUUAAGUAGGUAGUGAAAUCUGACGGCUCAACCGUACAGGCUAUUACCUAAACUGGCAGACUCGAGAAUGGUAGAGGUAACUGGAAUUUCUUGUGUAGGAGUGACAUCCGUAGAUAUAAGAAGGAACACCAAUGGCGUAGGCAGGUUACUGGACCAUUUCUGACACUGAGGCACGAAAGCGUGGGGAGCGAACGGG
RNAcentral lists this ribosomal RNA (255 nucleotides) under uncultured bacterium. RNAcentral's name for it is "partial 16S ribosomal RNA". It matches the Rfam family "Bacterial small subunit ribosomal RNA", at positions 524 to 776 of the family's 1533-position model. The record is from RNAcentral.